Molecule: transfer RNA, 63 nt
Filed under: Marmota monax (woodchuck)
Lineage: Eukaryota; Metazoa; Chordata; Mammalia; Rodentia; Sciuridae
Description: tRNA.Val
Rfam family: tRNA
About the family: Transfer RNA (tRNA) molecules are approximately 80 nucleotides in length.
Source: RNAcentral
GGGCUCAGUUGGUAGAGUGCUUGCUUGACAUGCACAAGGUCCUGGGUUCAAUCCCCAGCACCA